This 254-nucleotide ribosomal RNA is filed under the name uncultured bacterium. Its description in RNAcentral is "partial 16S ribosomal RNA". It matches the Rfam family "Bacterial small subunit ribosomal RNA", at positions 526 to 779 of the family's 1533-position model. The record is from RNAcentral.
CGUAGGUGGCAAGCGUUGUCCGGAAUUAUUGGGCGUAAAGCGCGCGCAGGUGGUUCCUUAAGUCUGAUGUGAAAGCCCACGGCUCAACCGUGGAGGGUCAUUGGAAACUGGGGAACUUGAGUGCAGAAGAGGAAAGUGGAAUUCCAAGUGUAGCGGUGAAAUGCGUAGAGAUUUGGAGGAACACCAGUGGCGAAGGCGACUUUCUGGUCUGUAACUGACACUGAGGCGCGAAAGCGUGGGGAGCGAACAGGAUU